GUGCUUGCUUUGGCAGAACAUAUACUAAAAUUGGAAUGAUACAGAGAAGAUUAACAUGGCCCCUGUGCAAAGAUGACAUAAAAUUUGUGAAGUGGUCCACGGUAAA
This 106-nucleotide small nuclear RNA is filed under the name Macaca fascicularis (crab-eating macaque). The record is from RNAcentral. Lineage: Eukaryota; Metazoa; Chordata; Mammalia; Primates; Cercopithecidae.